Molecule: ribosomal RNA, 492 nt
Filed under: uncultured bacterium
Lineage: Bacteria
Description: partial 16S ribosomal RNA
Rfam family: Bacterial small subunit ribosomal RNA
Source: RNAcentral
AGUGAACGCUGGCGGUAGGCCUAACACAUGCAAGUCGAACGGCAGCACAGUAAGAGCUUGCUCUUACGGGUGGCGAGUGGCGGACGGGUGAGGAAUACAUCGGAAUCUACUUUUUCGUGGGGGAUAACGUAGGGAAACUUACGCUAAUACCGCAUACGACCUACGGGUGAAAGCAGGGGAUCUUCGGACCUUGCGCGAUUGAAUGAGCCGAUGUCGGAUUAGCUAGUUGGCGGGGUAAAGGCCCACCAAGGCGACGAUCCGUAGCUGGUCUGGGACGAUGAUCAGCCACACUGGAACUGAGACACGGUCCAGACUCCUACGGGAGGCAGCAGUGGGGAAUAUUGGACAAUGGGCGCAAGCCUGAUCCAGCCAUACCGCGUGGGUGAAGAAGGCCUUCGGGUUGUAAAGCCCUUUUGUUGGGAAAGAAAAGCAGCAGGUUAAUACCCCGCUGUUCUGACGGUACCCAAAGAAUAAGCACCGGCUAACUUCGUG